This 545-nucleotide unclassified non-coding RNA is filed under the name Hevea brasiliensis (rubber tree). The record is from RNAcentral. Lineage: Eukaryota; Viridiplantae; Streptophyta; Magnoliopsida; Malpighiales; Euphorbiaceae.
AGGGACUGCUGGAUAUAUCGCACCAGAAGUAUUCUGCAGAAACUAUGGAGGUGUCUCUCAUAAGUCUGAUGUUUACAGCUAUGGAAUGUUGGUUCUGGAAAUGGCUGCUGGAAAAAAUAUUAUUGAUGAUGAUGUUGGAGCUUCUCCUGAACAUAUCAGUGAAACAUAUUUUCCUCACCUGAUAUACAAUAAACUUGAACAAGAUAAAGAACUUGGAUUGCAAGGCAUGAUGAAUCAAGAAGACAAGGAAAAUGCAAGGAAGAUUGUAAUAGUAGGCUUGUGGUGCAUUCAAACAGAUCCCUCAAACCGACCCCCAAUGAGCAGAGUAGUGGAAAUGUUGGAAGGAAACCUCGAGUCCUUGCUCAUCCCACCCAAGCCCUUCUUGUCAUCUCCUCCAAGAUCACAAUCCAGUUCAUCAUCUACAAUAGAUUCUUCCAUUUUCUAGACAACUAAUGAAUGUAAUCUUUUUCUUUUUUCCGUCUAGGGGAACAUCACAUCUGAUAGUUGUAGUCUUUUAGACCUGCUAAUGUUUCCUGCUCUUGAAG